GACGAACGCUGGCGGCGUGCUUAACACAUGCAAGUCGAACGGAAAGGCCCUGCUUUUGUGGUGUGCUCGAGUGGCGAACGGGUGAGUAACACGUGAGUAACCUGCCCUUGACUUUGGGGUAACUUCAGGAAACUGGGGCUACUAUCGGAUAGCAGCUCCUGCUCCGUGGUGGGCGGUGGAACGUUUCGGCGGGUGGGGAUGGACUCGCGGGUUAUGGGCUUGUUGGUUGGGUAGUGGCUUACCAAGGCAUUGACGGGUAGCCGGCCGGAGAGGGUGACCGGCCACAUUGGGACUGAGAUACGGCGCAGACGCGUACGGGAGGCAGCAGUGGGGAAUAUUGCACAAUGGGCGGAAGCCUGAUGAAGAAACGUCGCGGGCGGGAUGACGGCCUGCGGGUUGUAAAACGCUUUCGCCUGUGACGAAGCGUGAGUGACGGUAAUGGGUAAAGAAGCACCGGCUAACUACGUG
This 468-nucleotide ribosomal RNA is filed under the name uncultured bacterium. RNAcentral describes it as "partial 16S ribosomal RNA". It matches the Rfam family "Bacterial small subunit ribosomal RNA", at positions 28 to 507 of the family's 1533-position model. The record is from RNAcentral.